GACGAACGCUGGCGGCGUGCUUAACACAUGCAAGUCGAACGAAGAAGCGCCUUCCUUUUUGGUGGGUGUGGAUGAGUGGCCAACGGGUGAGUAAGACGGUAGUAACCUGCCCCCUUCUGCUUGAUAACCGCAUGCAGGUGUUGCUAAUACGGGAUAUUCUGGGCCUGUUGCUUGGUGGGUCUGGGAAAGCUUUUGUUUCGGUGGGAGAUGGGCUCGCGGCCUAUCAGCUUGUUGGUGGGGUGAUGGCCUACCAAGGCGGUGACGGGUAGCCGGCCUGAGAGGGUGGGCCGUAAUACUGGGACGGAGAGACGGCGCAUACUCCGAGGGGCGGCAGCAGGGGGUAAUACGGCAUGAGGGGCGGAAGGAUGAUGCAGCGACGCCGCGGGGGUGAUGGAGGUCGGCGCGUUGUGAACUGCUUUCGGGAGUGAAGCAGGGUUUCCGCGUUUGUGGGUGGGUUGACGGUAGCUGGAUAAGAAGCGCCGGCUAACUACGUG
This 494-nucleotide ribosomal RNA is filed under the name uncultured bacterium. Its description in RNAcentral is "partial 16S ribosomal RNA". It matches the Rfam family "Bacterial small subunit ribosomal RNA", at positions 28 to 507 of the family's 1533-position model. The record is from RNAcentral.